This 238-nucleotide ribosomal RNA is filed under the name uncultured bacterium. RNAcentral's name for it is "partial 16S ribosomal RNA". It matches the Rfam family "Bacterial small subunit ribosomal RNA", at positions 100 to 334 of the family's 1533-position model. The record is from RNAcentral.
CGGAACGGGUGAGUAACGCGUGAGGAACCUGCCUCAAAGAGGGGGACAACAGUUGGAAACGACUGCUAAUACCGCAUAAGCCCACGGCUCGGCAUCGAGCAGAGGGAAAAGGAGUGAUCCGCUUUGAGAUGGCCUCGCGUCCGAUUAGCUAGUUGGUGAGGUAACGGCCCACCGAGGCGACGAUCGGUAGCCGGACUGAGAGGUUGAACGGCCACAUUGGGACUGAGACACGGCCCAG